GCCACCGUAGCUCAGAGGUAGAGCACUCGAUUCGUAAUCGAGCGGUCGUCGGUUCAAUUCCGACCGGUGGCU
This 72-nucleotide transfer RNA is filed under the name Gemmatimonadota bacterium. RNAcentral's name for it is "tRNA-Thr". It matches the Rfam family "tRNA". From Rfam's summary of the family: Transfer RNA (tRNA) molecules are approximately 80 nucleotides in length. Their secondary structure includes four short double-helical elements and three loops (D, anti-codon, and T loops). Further hydrogen bonds mediate the characteristic L-shaped molecular structure. tRNAs have two regions of fundamental functional importance: the anti-codon, which is responsible for specific mRNA codon recognition, and the 3' end, to which the tRNAs corresponding amino acid is attached (by aminoacyl-tRNA synthetases). tRNAs cope with the degeneracy of the genetic code in two manners: having more than one tRNA (with a specific anti-codon) for a particular amino acid; and 'wobble' base-pairing, i.e. permitting non-standard base-pairing at the 3rd anti-codon position. The record is from RNAcentral. RNAcentral also lists the same sequence under 7 other names. Lineage: Bacteria; Pseudomonadati; Gemmatimonadota.